Molecule: long non-coding RNA, 753 nt
Filed under: Homo sapiens (human)
Lineage: Eukaryota; Metazoa; Chordata; Mammalia; Primates; Hominidae
Description: non-protein coding lnc-RFK-1:2
Source: RNAcentral
GUUCGGCUGAGGAAGGGAGCGCACGCCGGCGGCGCGGAGGCCGGCUCUGCGCUUCGGGCCGCCCCCUCCCCCCACCCCGCUCACACCCGGCACUUACUUCGGCUGUCUCCGCUGCCCUCCAGCGGAGACGCAGCUCCUCAGGCGCCCGGCGGUAUUUGUUGGGUCGGCGGCGUCAGGGAUUCGCAGUGGCCUGUGGUCGGCGUCGUCCGGCCACUGGUGCGCCCCCGCGGCAGGCAGAGCUCACGCUCCUGUCCCCCGGCUGGUCCGGGGUCUGGGCGCCGCGUCGACGGCGGCUCCGCAGGACGCGCAGACCGGGCCGCAGCCCAUUCCCCGAGCGGACUGCAUUAUGAGGCACCUGCCUUACUUCUGCCGGGGUCAAGUGGUGCGGGGCUUCGGCCGCGGCUCCAAGCAGCUGGGCAUCCCCACAGGAAACACAUAUCAUGCAUACCUUCAAAGAGGACUUCUAUGGGGAAAUCCUCAAUGUGGCCAUUGUUGGCUACCUGAGACCAGAAAAGAACUUUGAUUCUUUAGAGUCACUUAUUUCAGCAAUUCAAGGUGAUAUUGAAGAAGCUAAGAAACGACUAGAGUUACCAGAACAUUUGAAAAUCAAAGAAGACAAUUUCUUCCAGGUUUCUAAAAGCAAAAUAAUGAAUGGCCACUGAUGAAAAAUUGUAUUAUUUAUUCAUUCACUGUUUUCUAGUGUUUCUGUGUUUAUUACUGUUCAGCAUCAUCUUGGUUAUAUACUGAAAAUCA